GGUGGAUGGUGCACACAGAGAUUGUAUAUAAAUGAUGUCUGUUGGACAUUUUGUUAUACACAUGGCUAGACUGUCUGCUUGUCUGUUUUCAUGAAAACCAGGAAAGUUUCACAGUGAUUGAUAGGGUGUUCUGAUCCAGACUUUGCAUGCAAAUAUCCCAUUCUUUCUUUCUCUGGGACGAUCUGGGUUCUGUUUUCCCAUGCUGUGUGAAUCCAAGGUGUGAAUCUCAGCCUAAGUGCUUCUGGGAGGAAGACGUUCAAUCUCACUGCUUGCAAUUAUAGGUGUCAAUGACGUGACGCAGCCUACUAUACGGUUUUAACGUGACCCAGUACCGAGCCAAUAACAGCCCUCUGUAUGGACUGCCAUAGCACACAGCUAUGUAAUAUCACUUGCCGUUAACUCUUUCGUUGCCAACUUAUUAAAUAUUUUUUGUUUUUAC
Molecule: non-coding RNA, 439 nt
Organism: Pelobates cultripes (western spadefoot toad)
Lineage: Eukaryota; Metazoa; Chordata; Amphibia; Anura; Pelobatidae
Source: the annotation of a GenBank genome assembly